AAAAAUGGUAGUAACAGUAUAAAACAAAUAUUAAAAAAAAAAAUUAAAAAAAAAGUCUCACUCGUAAUAUUAUUAUAUUUGGUUAGUUUUAACACUUAAAAAUAUUACUAUAUAAACAUUAAAACAUAUAGACAUGUAAUAUAUAUAUUUACUCUAUGUUGUGUUCAUAAACUAUAUGUUUUUUUUUUUUAAAAUAUAUACUCGAUUUAAUAAAAACAAACAAAAAACAUUAAAUGUAACAAAAUUAAGUGUAACAAAAAAUUUACAAUGAUAAAAAGUUGUUUACAAUGUUUAGAAAAAUUAUAAAUUAAAAAAGUGCAUAUAUAUAUAUAUUUUCCCUUUACAGGCAAUUUUUUUUUCUUUCUAAUAAAAGAAACCUACUCAUUGUAGUUGGCAUAUAAAACUAUAUAUUUUUAAUAUAUAACCGUUUUUUUUUUAAUAACCAUCAUUUAUAACUGUGUUUUAUUUUUAUUUAUGAAAUAAAAAAAUAAAAAAAAAAAUCAAUAUAUUCACAGAAAUUACAUUUUUUUUUAAAAGAAUAGUAGAAAAAAACAUAUAGUUUAAACAAAGUUAUAUGAAAAUAUAUAUAACUAUAGAGCUAAAACUUUAUUUAUAUUCAACAAAAUAAAAAAAAUACAAACAUACAUACAACCGUACGAAAUAACGCCCAUUUAUGAACACUGUAAAAAGCAGAUUAUUGGAUGCCCAAAACAAACAGAGACUUACUAAAAAUUUUGAAUUUAAAAAAAUGAAAAAUAAAAUGUCCACUAAUGAAGAAAAUAAUUUGAGUGAUGAAGAGGAAAUAGAAUUUGAAGGAUGGGUUGAGUUUGUUACAAAAUCAGAAGAUAGUCAAAUUAAAGACCCUUCGUCAGGUACAAUAAAAAAAAAAAAAAAAAAAGAAAAAAAAAAGAAAAAUAUGAGAAAACUGUCAAAAACUGAUGAUGAUGAUGAUGAUGAUGAUAAUUAUACAAACGAUACAUAUUUAAUAGAUCCAGAAAAUAAGCAUCAAACAAAUGGUCUACCAGUAUAUGGUCUACCAGUAUAUGGUCUACCAGUAAAUGGUCUACCAGUAAAUGGUCUACCAGUAAAUGGUCUACCAGUAAAUGGUCUACCAGUAAAUACUAAUGUAGUUUAUACUACUCCUAAUUUAAUAUAUGAACAAAAAGUUGUUUGUAAUAAUAAUGAACUAAAUAAUCAAAUAACCUCAUUGGAUCCUAAUUAUGUGAAUGCAGCAGAACCUAUCGUAUUAAAAAACGAACAAGUGUUACCACAAUUAUAUAUAAGACAACCACCAACAGUUAUAGUAACAAAUGAGCCAAGACCCCCUUUAGUUAUUAAUCCACCUCCAGCUAAUGUUAUUUUAAAAAAUAAAGCUCCUCAACCUAUAUAUGUAAAUAGUACAAGACCAAAUAUAAUUAUAAAAAACGACCCACCUGUUAUACAAAAUCCGAUUAAUAUGGAUACAACACCUAUUCAAGUGGAUACACCAAUAAUGCAUAAUACUGAUACUAUAUCUACUGCUACUAUUCCUAUAACUACAGUAAAUGACACUAUUCAUUACCCUACUUCAGUAGGAAUUAAACAAUAUAACAUAUCAAAUAACAUGUCAAAUAACAUGUCAAAUAACAUGUCAAAUAACAUGNNNNNNNNNNCAAAUAACAUGUCAAAUAACAUGUCAAAUAACAUGUCAAAUAACAUGCCAAAUAAAAUACCAAAUAAUAAUAUUUGCUAUUAUUAUCAAAAAGAUUUACAAGUUGAUAAAAAUUCACAACCAUUCAAUAUUAUACAAACAGAUGGUAAUAAUAAUAUAAAUAUGAAAGAAAUGUUUGUAAAUAAUAACCCCAAUGUUAUUAUGAUUGAUGGCCAAAAUCAAAAUACUAAUUUAUAUCAACAACAGACAUCAGUACCUUUAGUUUUGUCAAAUAAUAAUGUUUUACAUACACAAGGAUCUAUAAAUAAUGCAAUUGCUUCUUUUGAUACACAAGGAUAUAAUUAUAUACAACAAAAUAAUCCUUAUCCAUAUACACAAUAUAUUUCUAUCCCUGACAAUAAUCCACAUAUAUUGAAUCAACAAGUUAUAGCAGAACCAGCAGUGAUAAAUCCUGUAUAUAAUUUUAUGCAUUCAUCUCCAUCCCAAGUUAUACAUCAACAAUCAGCUCCGAACAUAUUACAAUAUCAACAACCAACUCCGAACAUAAUUUAUCAACAACCGGAAACUCAAGUUAUACAAAAAGGUUUAGAAACCCAAGAACAACUCAGGUAGAUAAUAAACAUGGGAUACAACGAAACCUUUCUAACUCC
This 2301-nucleotide long non-coding RNA is filed under the name Piliocolobus tephrosceles (Ugandan red Colobus). Its description in RNAcentral is "lncRNA (ENSPTEG00000022900.1)". Lineage: Eukaryota; Metazoa; Chordata; Mammalia; Primates; Cercopithecidae. The record is from RNAcentral.